CACGGAAUUAGCCGUGGCUUAUUCAUCAAGUACCGUCAGAUCUUCUUCCUUGAUAAAAGAGGUUUACAGCCCAGAGGCCUUCAUCCCUCACGCGGCGUUGCUCCGUCAGGCUUUCGCCCAUUGCGGAAAAUUCCCCA
Molecule: ribosomal RNA, 137 nt
Filed under: uncultured Synechococcus sp.
Lineage: Bacteria; Bacillati; Cyanobacteriota; Cyanophyceae; Synechococcales; Synechococcaceae
Description: partial 16S ribosomal RNA
Source: RNAcentral